CUUCCAGUAGCACCUUAGAGACCAACUAAGUUUGUUAUUGGUAUGAGCUUUCGUGUGCAUGCAAUAACAAACUUAGUUGGUCUCUAAAGUGCUACUGGAGG
Non-coding RNA from Podarcis lilfordi (Lilford's wall lizard), 101 nucleotides. The record is from the annotation of a GenBank genome assembly. NCBI's taxonomy places the organism in Eukaryota, Metazoa, Chordata, Lepidosauria, Squamata, Lacertidae.